GUCGAGUCUGCAACCUCAUACCUCCCUCUCAGGGGCCUCCUGAGGUUGUGCGGGCCUGGCCGAGUCCGACCUGGGCUUAAAGAGGAUACGGAGAGGACAAGUUGCCCUGGGCCCCUGCAGGCUGGCCUUGGGUUCCUGGGAGUACAGUGGGGCAGUCACCUCCCUCCAGAGCCAGGCCUGCCCUGGAGAGGCAAGGGCAGGUGUCCCGCUUUUGGCUGCUCACGGGUCUGGCAAGCUGCUGAGUGUCUGUCACAGGGGGACAGUGCUCCCGCCCUUGUGCCUCACUGGGCAGGAACGGGCAUCAGGUGGGUGGAAUGCCAAGGCUCUGUGCGGUGGGGAACCACGGACCCGCAGUUAGAGCCAGUCUGCGUGUUGAACGGGUCCCAGCUGCGGCUCAGCAGCACCUCUCCUGGGGAAGCUCACCCGUGCUGGAGAGCUGUCACCAACAGGUUCCCAGCACUGAGGCCUGGGAGCCCUGACCAGCAGCCCCACGGUCCACCCACAGCAUUGGUGCUUGGCCAUGUGCUCAGACAGCGAAACACCAGUGACCCUGCAGGAUCUUUAGGUACGUGAACACAAGAAGCCAGGUACAGUUCCAACAGCCCUCUAAGCCACAUGUCCCCAAGGAUGAACACGUGGGGCCAACUUACAGGAGAACAAGGGGACCCCAAACCCAGGGUGCUUCUUACCUCUGGGGAGAUGUCACCACUAACUGUGUCAUUGCUACUGCCAUCACUGCCCCUGGGGAGACAUGGCCAGCCCCAUGUUGAGUCACUGCGGGGAAGCAGCGACCAGCUUCUGAGUCUGGGACCCCCUGAGCCUGGGCCCCAUGCCACACCCCUGACACCAAGUGGAAAAUGUUGCGAGUGUGGGCACAGUACGCUCGGCUGGGCUCCCUCAGAAGCAGUCUGAGCACAGACUCAGGCGCGAGUGGGUCUUUGGAGGUGACCCCAGGAAAUUCUGGUAGGUGUGUGAGAACCCACCCAGGGCAGGGCACGCUACGAAGCCGGUGGACGGUCAGGGCGCAGUCCCUGGGACAUGCCUGUACCAUGGAGAUGGACACCCAGAGGAGACGGAGCAGGGUGAUGACCCACCCUCGCAUCCUCUGCUGGCCCGUGGCGGCUCCCGGGCGCCCACUGCCCAGCUCUUUGGGCCUCCCCCGCAUCUUGGGCUGAGCUUGCCUUUGCCACGGAGCACCCAGAGAAACCCUUUCAAGCUUGACCAUGGAGGACUGGGCUCAUGGGGCCGAGGAAUGCGCUCAGGAUUAUAUUUGUAGAAGCGGAUUUGGAUCUAGGCCCGGCCAGGCCCAGGUCCCGUGCUGUCCUGCCUUGCUGUGGUCCUGCUUGGCCAGGGGCAGGGCCUGCGGUGUCACAGGUGGGUCUGCAUCUCAGGACAAUGGAGACCACACCAGCGUCUGGCUCCAGCCUUUGUGCCUCAGAGCCGGGAGACAUGUCAUCGCUGCGGGAAUAAGUGUUACACUCUGUCCAGACCCAGAGCCUAACGAGGCCCAGAUGCCCAGGGGAGGCCAGCAGACGUGGGUUUUCCAUGUAAGGCCUGACUGGCAGGGGGGCGUGUUCCUCAGGUCUCCGCGGAGUGCUCAGCUCUGGAAUCAGAUUCUCAGCUCGUGGUGCUGGGCCUCAGGGUCUGUCCAGGGAUGAUAACCAGGACCCGUGAGGCCACAGGAUUCCCGGGGCUGGGCGGGACCGCGAAGGAGUCGGCUCCAUCUUGGUGCUGGGAGGACGUGGACAGGGGCCCAGGGAGGGGCGGGUGUGCCCAGCCCUCACAGCUACUUCGAGGUGAGACUGAGCUUUCCUAACUGCUACCACCGUGCCAGGUCCUGCGCAGGGCCUCCUGCCCCUCCCCCAGGCCAGGGUGGCUGGGGAGAGCUCAGGGCAGACAUGUGCUUGGGUGGCCUGGGACAGGAGUGGAGGC
This 1932-nucleotide long non-coding RNA is filed under the name Marmota monax (woodchuck). Lineage: Eukaryota; Metazoa; Chordata; Mammalia; Rodentia; Sciuridae. The record is from RNAcentral.